RNAcentral lists this long non-coding RNA (312 nucleotides) under Ananas comosus (pineapple). RNAcentral's name for it is "long non-coding RNA (ACOM_LNC029475)". The record is from RNAcentral. Lineage: Eukaryota; Viridiplantae; Streptophyta; Magnoliopsida; Poales; Bromeliaceae.
AAUUAGAUUAGUGGAUAAUAUUUAAUCAUAAAAGAUAUUUAAAUGAGAUUUAAAUAUUAGUAAGUAAUCUUAUUAGAUAAGAUUAAAAUUAGAUAAGAUCUAAUUAAAUAUUGGAGAGAUUAAUAUUUAUCUCUAAUUAGAUUAGAGGCUAAUUAAAUAUUCAUAAUAUCUUAUAAGAUAAGAUUUUUACUAGAUUUGAUUUAGUUGGAUAAGCAUGAAUAUUUAAUUGUUAAAUUGGAGAGAUAGAAAAUCUUAUUAGAUAAGAUUUUAUGAAAUAAGAUUCUAUAUAUACAGAUUAUAUGUACGUAUAUA